AACGAACGCUGGCGGCAUGCCUAACACAUGCAAGUCGAACGAGACCUUCGGGUCUAGUGGCGCACGGGUGCGUAACGCGUGGGAACCUGCCCUUAGGUUCGGAAUAACUCCCCGAAAGGGGUGCUAAUACCGGAUAAUGUCUUCGGACCAAAGAUUUAUCGCCGUUGGAUGGGCCCGCGUUGGUUUAGCUAGUUGGUAGGGUAAAAGCCUACCAAGGCGACGAUCCAUAGCUGGUCUGAGAGGAUGAUCAGCCACACUGGGACUGAGACACGGCCCAGACUCCUACGGGAGGGAGCAGUGGGGAAUAUUGGACAAUGGGGGAAGGCCUGAUGCAGCAAUGCCGCGUGAGUGAUGAAGGCCGUAGGGUAGUAAAGCUCUUUUACCCGGGAUGAUAAUGACAGUACCGGGAGAAUAAGCACCGGCUAACUCCGUG
RNAcentral lists this ribosomal RNA (433 nucleotides) under uncultured bacterium. RNAcentral's name for it is "partial 16S ribosomal RNA". It matches the Rfam family "Bacterial small subunit ribosomal RNA", at positions 29 to 507 of the family's 1533-position model. The record is from RNAcentral.